RNAcentral lists this ribosomal RNA (377 nucleotides) under uncultured Bacteroidales bacterium. Its description in RNAcentral is "bacterial SSU rRNA". It matches the Rfam family "Bacterial small subunit ribosomal RNA", at positions 22 to 398 of the family's 1533-position model. Lineage: Bacteria; Pseudomonadati; Bacteroidota; Bacteroidia; Bacteroidales. The record is from RNAcentral.
GCUCAGGAUGAACGCUAGCUACAGGCUUAACACAUGCAAGUCGAGGGGUAGCAGGGUAGCAAUACCGCUGACGACCGGCGCACGGGUGAGUAACACGUAUCCAACCUUCCCAUAACUCGGGGAUAGCCUUUCGAAAGAAAGAUUAAUACCCGAUAGUACUUUUUCAAGGCAUCUUGAUAAAGUUAAAGAUUUAUUGGUUAUGGAUGGGGAUGCGUUCCAUUAGAUAGUUGGUGAGGUAACGGCUCACCAAGUCUUCGAUGGAUAGGGGUUCUGAGAGGAAGGUCCCCCACAUUGGUACUGAGACACGGACCAAACUCCUACGGGAGGCAGCAGUGAGGAAUAUUGGUCAAUGGGCGAGAGCCUGAACCAGCCAAGUA